AUGGCGCUGAGCCUGCGCGUCCCGUCGUCUUCGGCGUCGCCGGCGGUGGGGCGGCGCCAGCGGGCAGCGGUGAGGUGCGGGGCGACGCGGGCGAGGCCGGCCGUCCCGGGCGGGGGGCUGGAGGAGGACCACUACCGGACGCUGAGGCUCGCGCCGGGGGCCUCCAGGGGCGAGGUCAAGAGGGCCUUCCGCCGCCUCGCGCUGCAGUACCACCCGGACGUCGUGCGGGACGGCCACCAAGACGACGACGGCGUGGACUUCCAGCGGAUCAACGCGGCGUACCAGAGGGUGAUGAGCAACAUACGGGAGACGGAGGCGAGGCUCGAGUACUGGCGCCGCCGCUACGGCCUCGCCGACGAGGACCUCGACCGCUACCGACACUACCUCAACGACGAGGACGAGGACGACUGGUUCGCAGACCUGUGA
Molecule: ribosomal RNA, 426 nt
Filed under: Triticum aestivum (bread wheat)
Lineage: Eukaryota; Viridiplantae; Streptophyta; Magnoliopsida; Poales; Poaceae
Description: partial small subunit ribosomal RNA
Source: RNAcentral